This 253-nucleotide ribosomal RNA is filed under the name uncultured bacterium. RNAcentral's name for it is "partial 16S ribosomal RNA". It matches the Rfam family "Bacterial small subunit ribosomal RNA", at positions 524 to 776 of the family's 1533-position model. The record is from RNAcentral.
UACGUAGGGGGCAAGCGUUAUCCGGAUUUACUGGGUGUAAAGGGAGCGUAGACGGCAGCGCAAGUCUGGAGUGAAAUGCCGGGGCCCAACCCCGGAACUGCUUUGGAAACUGUGCAGCUCGAGUGCAGGAGAGGUAAGCGGAAUUCCUAGUGUAGCAGUGAAAUGCGUAGAUAUUAGGAGGAACACCAGUGGCGAAGGCGGCUUACUGGACUGUAACUGACGUUGAGGCUCGAAAGCGUGGGGAGCAAACAGG